This 2899-nucleotide ribosomal RNA is filed under the name Escherichia coli. RNAcentral's name for it is "23S ribosomal RNA". It matches the Rfam family "Bacterial large subunit ribosomal RNA". Lineage: Bacteria; Pseudomonadati; Pseudomonadota; Gammaproteobacteria; Enterobacterales; Enterobacteriaceae. The record is from RNAcentral.
UUAAGCGACUAAGCGUACACGGUGGAUGCCCUGGCAGUCAGAGGCGAUGAAGGACGUGCUAAUCUGCGAUAAGCGUCGGUAAGGUGAUAUGAACCGUUAUAACCGGCGAUUUCCGAAUGGGGAAACCCAGUGUGAUUCGUCACACUAUCAUUAACUGAAUCCAUAGGUUAAUGAGGCGAACCGGGGGAACUGAAACAUCUAAGUACCCCGAGGAAAAGAAAUCAACCGAGAUUCCCCCAGUAGCGGCGAGCGAACGGGGAGGAGCCCAGAGCCUGAAUCAGUGUGUGUGUUAGUGGAAGCGUCUGGAAAGGCGCGCGAUACAGGGUGACAGCCCCGUACACAAAAAUGCACAUACUGUGAGCUCGAUGAGUAGGGCGGGACACGUGGUAUCCUGUCUGAAUAUGGGGGGACCAUCCUCCAAGGCUAAAUACUCCUGACUGACCGAUAGUGAACCAGUACCGUGAGGGAAAGGCGAAAAGAACCCCGGCGAGGGGAGUGAAAAAGAACCUGAAACCGUGUACGUACAAGCAGUGGGAGCCUCUUUUAUGGGGUGACUGCGUACCUUUUGUAUAAUGGGUCAGCGACUUAUAUUCUGUAGCAAGGUUAACCGAAUAGGGGAGCCGAAGGGAAACCGAGUCUUAACUGGGCGUUAAGUUGCAGGGUAUAGACCCGAAACCCGGUGAUCUAGCCAUGGGCAGGUUGAAGGUUGGGUAACACUAACUGGAGGACCGAACCGACUAAUGUUGAAAAAUUAGCGGAUGACUUGUGGCUGGGGGUGAAAGGCCAAUCAAACCGGGAGAUAGCUGGUUCUCCCCGAAAGCUAUUUAGGUAGCGCCUCGUGAACUCAUCUCCGGGGGUAGAGCACUGUUUCGGCAAGGGGGUCAUCCCGACUUACCAACCCGAUGCAAACUGCGAAUACCGGAGAAUGUUAUCACGGGAGACACACGGCGGGUGCUAACGUCCGUCGUGAAGAGGGAAACAACCCAGACCGCCAGCUAAGGUCCCAAAGUCAUGGUUAAGUGGGAAACGAUGUGGGAAGGCCCAGACAGCCAGGAUGUUGGCUUAGAAGCAGCCAUCAUUUAAAGAAAGCGUAAUAGCUCACUGGUCGAGUCGGCCUGCGCGGAAGAUGUAACGGGGCUAAACCAUGCACCGAAGCUGCGGCAGCGACACUAUGUGUUGUUGGGUAGGGGAGCGUUCUGUAAGCCUGUGAAGGUGUACUGUGAGGUAUGCUGGAGGUAUCAGAAGUGCGAAUGCUGACAUAAGUAACGAUAAAGCGGGUGAAAAGCCCGCUCGCCGGAAGACCAAGGGUUCCUGUCCAACGUUAAUCGGGCAGGGUGAGUCGACCCCUAAGGCGAGGCCGAAAGGCGUAGUCGAUGGGAAACAGGUUAAUAUUCCUGUACUUGGUGUUACUGCGAAGGGGGGACGGAGAAGGCUAUGUUGGCCGGGCGACGGUUGUCCCGGUUUAAGCGUGUAGGCUGGUUUUCCAGGCAAAUCCGGAAAAUCAAGGCUGAGGCGUGAUGACGAGGCACUACGGUGCUGAAGCAACAAAUGCCCUGCUUCCAGGAAAAGCCUCUAAGCAUCAGGUAACAUCAAAUCGUACCCCAAACCGACACAGGUGGUCAGGUAGAGAAUACCAAGGCGCUUGAGAGAACUCGGGUGAAGGAACUAGGCAAAAUGGUGCCGUAACUUCGGGAGAAGGCACGCUGAUAUGUAGGUGAAGUCCCUCGCGGAUGGAGCUGAAAUCAGUCGAAGAUACCAGCUGGCUGCAACUGUUUAUUAAAAACACAGCACUGUGCAAACACGAAAGUGGACGUAUACGGUGUGACGCCUGCCCGGUGCCGGAAGGUUAAUUGAUGGGUUAGCGCAAGCGAAGCUCUUGAUCGAAGCCCCGGUAAACGGCGGCCGUAACUAUAACGGUCCUAAGGUAGCGAAAUUCCUUGUCGGGUAAGUUCCGACCUGCACGAAUGGCGUAAUGAUGGCCAGGCUGUCUCCACCCGAGACUCAGUGAAAUUGAACUCGCUGUGAAGAUGCAGUGUACCCGCGGCAAGACGGAAAGACCCCGUGAACCUUUACUAUAGCUUGACACUGAACAUUGAGCCUUGAUGUGUAGGAUAGGUGGGAGGCUUAGAAGUGUGGACGCCAGUCUGCAUGGAGCCGACCUUGAAAUACCACCCUUUAAUGUUUGAUGUUCUAACGUUGACCCGUGAUCCGGGUUGCGGACAGUGUCUGGUGGGUAGUUUGACUGGGGCGGUCUCCUCCUAAAGAGUAACGGAGGAGCACGAAGGUUGGCUAAUCCUGGUCGGACAUCAGGAGGUUAGUGCAAUGGCAUAAGCCAGCUUGACUGCGAGCGUGACGGCGCGAGCAGGUGCGAAAGCAGGUCAUAGUGAUCCGGUGGUUCUGAAUGGAAGGGCCAUCGCUCAACGGAUAAAAGGUACUCCGGGGAUAACAGGCUGAUACCGCCCAAGAGUUCAUAUCGACGGCGGUGUUUGGCACCUCGAUGUCGGCUCAUCACAUCCUGGGGCUGAAGUAGGUCCCAAGGGUAUGGCUGUUCGCCAUUUAAAGUGGUACGCGAGCUGGGUUUAGAACGUCGUGAGACAGUUCGGUCCCUAUCUGCCGUGGGCGCUGGAGAACUGAGGGGGGCUGCUCCUAGUACGAGAGGACCGGAGUGGACGCAUCACUGGUGUUCGGGUUGUCAUGCCAAUGGCACUGCCCGGUAGCUAAAUGCGGAAGAGAUAAGUGCUGAAAGCAUCUAAGCACGAAACUUGCCCCGAGAUGAGUUCUCCCUGACCCUUUAAGGGUCCUGAAGGAACGUUGAAGACGACGACGUUGAUAGGCCGGGUGUGUAAGCGCAGCGAUGCGUUGAGCUAACCGGUACUAAUGAACCGUGAGGCUUAACCUU